RNAcentral lists this transfer RNA (79 nucleotides) under freshwater metagenome. RNAcentral describes it as "tRNA-Val". The record is from RNAcentral.
GUUGGCUGAUCGCAUUGUGAUGCUUGACCACCUCACGCGUGGUCGCAUGAUGUUUGGUGCUGGCCCCGGACAGUUGACA